This 466-nucleotide ribosomal RNA is filed under the name uncultured bacterium. RNAcentral's name for it is "partial 16S ribosomal RNA". It matches the Rfam family "Bacterial small subunit ribosomal RNA", at positions 29 to 506 of the family's 1533-position model. The record is from RNAcentral.
ACGAACGCUGGCGGCGUGCUUAACACAUGCAAGUCGAACGGAAAGGCCCUGCUUUUGUGGGGUGCUCGAGUGGCGAACGGGUGAGUAACACGUGAGUAACCUGCCCUUGACUUUGGGAUAACUUCAGGAAACUGGGGCUAAUACCGGAUAGGAGCUCCUGCUGCAUGGUGGGGGUUGGAAAGUUUCGGCGGUUGGGGAUGGACUCGCGGCUUAUUAGCUUGUUGGUGGGGUAGUGGCUUACCAAGGCUUUGACGGGUAGCCGGCCUGAGAGGGUGACCGGCCACAUUGGGACUGAGAUACGGCCCAGACUCCUACGGGAGGCAACAGUGGGGAAUAUUGCACAAUGGGCGGAAGCCUGAUGCAGCAACGCCGCGUGCGGGAUGACGGCCUUCGGGUUGUAAACCGCUUUCGCCUGUGACGAAGCGUGAGUGACGGUAAUGGGUAAAGAAGCACCGGCUAACUACGU